Long non-coding RNA from Salvia splendens (bonfire salvia), 752 nucleotides. RefSeq lists it as uncharacterized. NCBI's taxonomy places the organism in Eukaryota, Viridiplantae, Streptophyta, Magnoliopsida, Lamiales, Lamiaceae. The record is from RefSeq and is a predicted model, not a curated record. The transcript is spliced from 2 exons.
UCUUGAUCACUACCCUAUAUAUAUAUAUAUAUAUAUAUAUAUAUAAUUUUCUUCCCUUCCCUUCGACCCUCACUCUCCCGCGAUGGCGGCUCAAGAUUUCCGCCGUUUCGCUCAGGUAAUGGAUGAUCUCGACACCACAUUAGGGAACUGACCGCCAACAAUCUGACUCUAAGUCGCCGUCAAUUGAGAGAUAAAGGGCGUCAAUUGAGAGAUAAAGCUCAAGAAGAUAUCAACAACGGCCGUUUGCUUGAAGAACGCGAGAAGCGCAGAUCUGUGCAAGCCCAGAGAAUGAGCAUAAUCAACAAGCUCACCGACCAAACUGUGUUUAUUAGAGAGGAAGCGGAAGUUAAUCUGAUUGAGCGAGAGCGCUGUAACUUGGCCAUGAGAGUGCUCACCAACAGUCCAGAAUUGUAUCAGAUUGCGUUGAAUAGCAGACUGCAGGUAGAACUAGUCGAGAUCGCUGCCCCCAAUCAAGAUGAAGAGGGUGAGGAUAGCGAUGAAGAUGAUUCUGACUAUGUGCCAGAAGAAGAAGACUCGGAUUCGGACUGAGAGCGUUCCAUCUCAGGAAUUUCUGCGCGCGGAAGAAUUCUUUUCUCGAAUUUUUAAUUGUUGAUAUCUACGGUUUCCAGUUACAAAAUAAGUUGACUCAGUUACAAAAAGUGUAAAAAUGUUGAGUUUUCUUGAUUGCUCUAUUUUCCACUUUUGUUGAUUGCAAUUGCAAUUGCAUUUGCAUUUCCGUCGUAAAUGCAAAA